This 220-nucleotide unclassified non-coding RNA is filed under the name plant metagenome. Its description in RNAcentral is "partial contains small subunit ribosomal RNA, internal transcribed spacer 1, and 5.8S ribosomal RNA". The record is from RNAcentral.
UUUCCGUAGGUGAGCCUGCGGAAGGAUCAUUACAGAGUUCAUGCCCUCACGGGUAGAUCUCCCACCCUUGAAUAUUUACACCUUAGUUGCUUUGGCAGGCCGUGGAAACACCAUGGGCUCCGGCUUAUGCGUGCCUGCCAGAGGAAACAAACUCUGUUUUUAGUGAUGUCUGAGUACUAUAUAAUAGUUAAAACUUUCAACAACGGAUCUCUUGGUUCUG